This 517-nucleotide long non-coding RNA is filed under the name Nicotiana benthamiana. RNAcentral describes it as "long non-coding RNA (NBEN_LNC036688)". The record is from RNAcentral. Lineage: Eukaryota; Viridiplantae; Streptophyta; Magnoliopsida; Solanales; Solanaceae.
AUAUUUACUUAUUUGAGGAAAGAAAGGGUUUCAAAUACUAAGCUAUUUAAUCUGGAUGACAUUAGUAGGGACAAAAGUUCCUAUUUUUUUCGGGGGACGAAAGCUUUCAUUCGUUAGUAUGAAAUGCCGCCUGUACAAGGAGCAAUGUAGUGUAACAUAGCUGACAUCUGAUGUUUCUGCUACCACUAUAGUGUAUUUCAUCACUCUCCUUUCCCACGAAAUAGUUAGUUAAUACCUGGGCCACUGAAGAUGCUUUCUGCCCAACGGCUACACAUACAUAAUAUUUUGACCUUGUUGAUUGAGACUUGUAUCUGUGGCUACGAGCUAUAGCUACUACUGUUGAAUGAACUUUACGUUAGUGCCUUAUAUUGACGAGUUGUACAUACAACAACAACAACAACUACCCAGUUAUCCUACCAGGUGGGGUAUGGGGAGGGUAAUAUGUAGACGAGCCUACCCCCGCCCGUAAGGGCAGAGAGGCUGUUUCCAAACGACCCUCGGCGUGUAGGAUAAAAAG